UCACCGAUGGAUAGCAAGUUUUGGGCAGA
RNAcentral lists this non-coding RNA (29 nucleotides) under Mus musculus (house mouse). The record is from RNAcentral. Lineage: Eukaryota; Metazoa; Chordata; Mammalia; Rodentia; Muridae.